GAAAAUCAAUUCCCGGUACCCGAAACCGACACAGGUGGGCAAGUAGAGAAUACUAAGGGGCGCGAGGUAACUCUCUCCAAGGAACUCGGCAAAAUGACCCCGUAACUUAGGGAGAAGGGGUGCCACCGAGAGGUGGUCGCAGUGAAGAGGCCCAGGCGACUGUUUAGCAAAAACAUAGGUCUCUGCAAACUCGAAAGAGGAGGUAUAGGGGCUGACGCCUGCCCAGUGCCGGAAGGUUAAAGAAGUUGGUCAGUUUUAGGAUGAAGCUAGCGACUGAAGCCCCGGUGAACGGCGGCCGUAACUAUAACGGUCCUAAGGUAGCGAAAUUCCUUGUCGGGUAAGUUCCGACCCGCACGAAAGGCGUAACGAUCUGGGCGCUGUCUCGGAGAGAGGCUCGGCGAAAUAGGAUUGUCUGUGAAGAUACGGACUACCUGCAUUUGGACAGAAAGACCCUAUGAAGCUUUACUAUAGCUUGGAAUUGUGUUCGGGCUUCCUGUGCGCAGGAUAGGUGGGAGGCGUAGAAGGUAUUCUUGUGGGGAUACUGGAGCCAACGGUGAGAUACCACUCUCAGGAGGCUAGAAUUCUAGCUUAAUUAAGGACAGUUUCAGGUGGGUAGUUUGACUGGGGCGGUCGCCUCCAAAAAGGUAACGGAGGCGUACAAAGGUUCCCUCAGACUGGUUGGAAAUCAGUCGAAGAGUGCAAAGGCAGAAGGGAGCUUGACUGCGAGAAGUACAGUUCGAGCAGGGUGGAAACACGGUCUUAGUGAUCCGACGGUGCUGUGUGGAAGGGCCGUCGCUCAACGGAUAAAAGUUACCCUAGGAUAACAGGCUGAUCUCCCCCAAGAGUUCACAUCGACGGGGAGGUUUGGCACCUCGAUGUCGGCUCAUCGCAACCUGGGGCGGAAGUACGUCCCAAGGGUUGGGCUGUUCGCCCAUUAAAGCGGUACGUGAGCUGGGUUCAGAACGUCGUGAGACAGUUCGGUCCAUAUCCGAUGUAGGCGUGAGAAUAUUGAGAGGAGCCUUCCUUAGUACGAGAGGACCGGGAAGGACGCACCGCUGGUGUACCUGUUAUGAUGCCAAUUGUAAACGCAGGGUAGCCAAGUGGGGAGAGGAUAACCGCUGAAAGCAUCUAAGUGGGAAGCCCACCUCAAGAUGAGUAUUCUGGUGUAAGGUCACGGGAAGACGACCCGUAAAUAGGCACGAGGUGGAAGUGCAGAGAUGUAUGAAGCCGAAGUGUACUAAUAGACCGUCGGCUUGACC
RNAcentral lists this ribosomal RNA (1259 nucleotides) under metagenome. Its description in RNAcentral is "bacterial LSU rRNA". It matches the Rfam family "Bacterial large subunit ribosomal RNA", at positions 1629 to 2925 of the family's 2925-position model. The record is from RNAcentral.